Molecule: long non-coding RNA, 732 nt
Organism: Hypomesus transpacificus
Lineage: Eukaryota; Metazoa; Chordata; Actinopteri; Osmeriformes; Osmeridae
Exons: 5
Source: RefSeq, a predicted model, not a curated record
UUUAAAUAUCCUGAUGCCCAAAGUUCUGCAUCCACCUGUCGUUUGGACCACAGGUAAAAGAGAAGCCACUAGCAUAAUUUCCAUCUGGUCAUCUGUUAGAGAGAAGAACAUCAGAGACUUGCUGAUAGCUGGUAGAAGUUCACAUUCCUUGUUGCGAAGAUGAAUUUCCUGUCUGCAGUUUCUCUGCUCCUUCUGGCUGGAAGAACUCUGGGGGAUCAACCAUUAGAGUUCAGGUUUGGCGACAUCAUUAGAUUCAAAUCACACUACGGUCUGGCUCUUGGAGAGCGAAAUACCCAAGGAGAUGAGAUGUUUUUUCACAAGACAGAAGAAAAAUGUGAAAUUAAAGAAUUGAAUCCUCAGACCAGAGAACAUCGCAGACGAGAUAAUUACCAAGAUGAAACUGGGAAAGUGCUGACACAACAAGAUAUCAUUGACAUAACAAACAGACUCAAUGAAUGCAAACAAUAUGAUGACAACGCUGAAAGCACACCGUGUUGUGGGAAAUUUAACAUGAAUAACAACUGUGAACACACAGUUACCUACAUCCGAUAUGGAAUUUCUGGAAGAGUGUCUUGUCUGGGCUGGUGGGAGUUGGUCACACGCUACAAGCAGAACCCUGCCCGUCCCGCCCAAUGUGCAAACUGGGAAGAGCCAAAUCAGACCUAGACCAUUAUGAUGAUAAAUUAAUCAGUACAUGUUCUGAGACACAUCUUGGAAUAAAUCAUGAUAGCA